CCUACGGGUGGCAGCAGUGGGGAAUAUUGCGCAAUGGGCGAAAGCCUGACGCAGCGACGCCGCGUGAGGGAUGAAGGUCUUCGGAUCGUAAACCUCUGUCAGCAGGGAAGAACGGUCACUGUGGUAAUCAGCAGUGAAUUGACGGUACCUGCAAAGGAAGCACCGGCUAACUCCGUGCCAGCAGCCGCGGGAAUCCGGAGGGUGGGAGCGUUAAUCGGAAUUACUGGGUGUAAAGCGCUCGUAGGCGGUAUGUCAAGUCAAGGGUGAAAUCCCCGGGCUCAACGUGGGAACUGCCUUUGAAACUGGUAAACUGGAGUGUGUGAGAGGAUAGUGGAAUGCCUGGUGUAGCAGUGAAAUGCGUAGAUAUCAGGAGGAACAUCAGUGGCGAAGGCGACUAUCUGGCACAUAACUGACGCUGAGGAGCGAAAGCGUGGGUAGCAAACAGGAUUAGAUACCCUAGUAGUC
This 465-nucleotide ribosomal RNA is filed under the name uncultured bacterium. RNAcentral's name for it is "partial 16S ribosomal RNA". It matches the Rfam family "Bacterial small subunit ribosomal RNA", at positions 338 to 795 of the family's 1533-position model. The record is from RNAcentral.